This 6650-nucleotide long non-coding RNA is filed under the name Sus scrofa (pig). RNAcentral describes it as "lncRNA (ENSSSCG00050065121.1)". Lineage: Eukaryota; Metazoa; Chordata; Mammalia; Artiodactyla; Suidae. The record is from RNAcentral.
CAGACGAUUUAUGCAACAGUGUUCCCAUAGACAAAAUUAUGAAAAGAAGGCAUUCCAACAUGCUGAUGUGUCUAACUGCCCAUGUAAAUUAAAUAAGGUGUAGCAAAAUAUAUAAAUUGUUAAUAUUAUGAUUACCUGGUACCUGAGACAAAGGGGAGAGAAAUUAACAACACUGGUUUUUAAUCAAUAAAAAUUAAACAGAUGAAAAUGGAUAACUCGCAGGAGAUGAAGUUGCUUAGUAAAAAGGGAUUCAGGAAGUUAUUUUUCCCCAUGGGAAAAAUUGAAAGUGUUUUUCAUAAUGUAUAUCCAUCUGGCAUAUUUGGCCUAUAACAUAGCUUAAUAUUUGUUGAGACUUAAAUUAAUUUGACUUUGGAGUUUUAAGAUGCAUUGAUUACCUUAGAGAGCUGAAAUUCUUAUAUCUAAGGUUGAAUUCUUAAACUUUCGAAUUAAGAUGUUUUGAUAUCUUAAGUGUCUAAAUUUUAUUUUUACAUGUGUUUAAUCUACCAGUGAUUGUACAACAUUAUAACAUAUUCCCUUCCAAAGUGUUAGUUUAUCUAACAUUGACUGAAUUUACUGUGAGGUUUUACUGCUGAACUAUUCAUUUGGCGUUAAGUAAUAGAGAAGAAGAAAGUAUAAGAGGUGCUGAUUAAAUAUUUGUUAGGGUACAUAUUUACUUUUAUUUCCAAUUAUUACACUGUUGAAAUAAUGGAAAAUAUCUAAUGUGAUAGAAAAAAAUCAUCAAAUCAGACAUUUAGAGGACUACAUUAGAUCUCAAAUGACCAGAAUGAAUUUUUAGUUUGAAUAAAUAAAUGUUCCAGUUGUUUGGGGCUUUAAAUCAGAAACAAAGUUUUCAAGAGAAAAUGCUAGAGUUACAAAGAGACAUAUUUUUGUCUCAAGCUGAGAGGUCUGGGAAGGAAAAAAUUUUUCUUCUGCCCUUUUAGGUCCUAUGACUGGGCCUGAGAAUUAAACUGACAAAAGACAGGCAAAAAGCAUUCAAAUUUUGCUUGAUGUUAAUAUUAUUAUAUAUAUACUUCAUAUAUAUAUAUUAAAAAAUGAAGGUCCAAAUAAGCAGGGAAAUACAUGGGAGAAACAAAUGUAAAAUAAGGUUUGAUUUAGUAGGUUUAUAUGACAGAUUCACCUCAGUGUCAACUCUCUGCCUCCAGUGAUAAGAAUACUCUCCUCUUCCAGAGUUUCUGUUGUGGUUCAUUGAGUUAUGAACCUGACUAGUAUCAAUGAGGAUGUGGUUUGAUCCCUGGCCUCACUCAGUGGAUUAAGGAUCCGGCAUUCCUGUGGCUGUGGUGUAGGUUGGCAGCUGCAGCUCCAAUUUGACCCCUAGCCUGGGAACUUCCAUAUGCCACAGUGCUGCUCUAAAAAGCAACAAACAAACAAACAAACAAACAAAUGGAAUAUUCUCCUCUUCCUGUGCAGGCAGGGCAUCUUUCUCAUGGGAAAUUUGUGCCCUGCUUUUAGGUAGGAAGGGGGAGUUCAGAGAGCCCUUCCUGCAUUUCAGUCACCUUCUACUCCAAAUAAUCAAUAUACUUGGGGAUGGCAUGUUCUGAUCUCCUUUAGGGUUUUGUAUUAUUAUUUAAUUAGUAUUCGUGUGUUUGUAAUUAUACAUGCAUAUAAAUGGAUAAAUAGGAACAACAACUAGCUGAAUGAAGGCAUAUCUCAAUCAAAUGGUCUCAAAAUUGCUAUUGUGGAAUUUCAGAUCUUUAAGACUUUUAGUGCUCAGAUCCAUAGAUAAGAAAUGACAGAAUAUUAAAAUUGAAAUAACCCUGAUAGUCUCAAGGAUAUCGACCAUGUCAGCCAUUCUGAAGACAGCUCACAUCUAUGCUAGAAGUAGAUUUAAAGGACAAUAAUCUUGAGAUUAAAAACUACCCAUAAUAUCAUUUCCCUAGAAUCCCUCCCUUACAUAAAUAUAGGUCCUCUAGAUGGAUUUGACCUCAUCUGGCAGGUAAAUGGCCCUCACUGACUUGCAUCAGUUGCAUCAAGUGAUGCAAUUGGCUUCUAAGGAUCCUAGAGCAAUUUCUCAUUAGAGGCUGGAUAUUAUACUUAUUGAUGUAUCUGUUGCCCAUUCCCAUCCUAAGUGUCCCUAUUGAAAACAGGACUAUGACUUUACUAUCUUGAUAACAUCACAGCUACUGUCUAGAUUAUUACUGUUGCCCUAACAAAUGAUCAUACUGUAUUUUUGUAUAUUUUUAUCAAAAAUAAAUAACUGCUCAGACAUAGAGACCAAUAAUAAUCUACUUUCUUCUGUGUUUUAUGACUUCGAUUUUAAAGGGAAACUAUAAAGAAGUAAAACCUUAGCUGACAUUGGGGACAACCUUCAGCAGUGUGACAGAUUUUACUGGUCUCAUUAGAAAUAUGUGGAGUGACGUGUGUUAAUUUGGGUCCUUUGAACUACCAAUCCAGGCAGAUUUUAUCAGUAAGAAAGCAGAGUGUAAAAAUAGCAGUGAGUCCAGGGGCUCAAGAAUGAUUUCAGGUUCUAAAGUUUGUAUCCCUCUCUGCUCUCCAUCCAGAAUAUUGUUGUUCUCCUGAAGCUGGUUCCCCUUUGGAGUAGAAUGACUUUCAAGGGCUGCUAUAAUACCCCUUUGUUCAAGUCAAAAGGGAUGAACUUGAACUGUUCUCUGUAAGAGGUGGAGAGAACAUUCUCAGACGUUACCAGCAUGUACUUCUUUAUAUCUCAUUGUCCUUUAUUGUGUCACAUGCUUUUCUUGAACGUAUUACUGACAAAGAGGAUGGAAUGCCCAAAGACUGACCACAAUAAGGUUAAUUCUCCCAGUUGCAGGUUUACUUCUCCAUAGGAAAGAAAUGGAAUAGACGUUGAGUGACCAAUGACAAUGUUUACCAUAAUGGGAUAAGUGCACAGAAAAUAAGGAGGAAGAUGAUGGAGAAACAGUUGUUGAAGGAAGGCACUAGAGGCCCAAUGGGACUAUCCUUUUACUAGAGAAAGAGUCAGUGCAAGCCAAACAAAACAGAGAAGAUAAAAGAGGAAGAGAAAUAACAAAUCAAAAGUAGCUAAGAACUACUUCAUUUUUUAAAAAGCGAAGUAUUAAGCGUGUUCAAAAAAUGUGUGUUUAUUCAUAGAGAUAGUUUAUUCUUCUGAGAAGAUAAGAAUAUACUUAAAAAAUAAAGGAAAAAUAAGGAGACAGUGCUGUCUUUUAGUUAAUGUUAAUUCACGAUUUGGAAAAGGUUUACAUGUGAGAAAGACUACCCUAAUUGAUCCUAUUUCUAUGGAUGUAUUUUGUUUAUAUGGGAAGAUUUAACCACAUAAAUGUUGACAUUUUGGAUAGUUUGUUGUAAGUGGGCAGAGUGUAGAUAAUGAGAAAUUCAACUGUGCUUAAAAUCAAUGGGCUUGUCUUUGUGAUGGGCUGUAAUGAGCCUCCUCCCCUGUAGGUUGGAAAAUGUGUGUUUUUUAGAGAACACCUAUCUCCACAUCUUUUCCUGGAUUUGUGUUUCCAGGGAGAGAUUUACCAUUCCAUAGUCAAAAUUAUGUGCAAGUACCACCUCUAAAAUGUCCACUAUCGCUAUCCAAACAUGUCAAUAUGUAGCUCUACAGGACUGACAAAUUUCCUUGCCCCAGGGAGGAACUGUCACUAAGGCAAGGCCAUGGGUAAAUACUGGUAACCACAAGGUUUCCUCCAGUAGCAUUUCAAGUGGGCAAUAAGAACCAAACCUGGCAGUAGCAGUCAUUCCAAAAUGUCUGUUUCUUUAACAGUUUUAAUCCUGAACCAACUCAGAUCUCAAAAUCUAGGCAACAGGCCAGAUCUCUAGGUUUGGAACAAGUGUCUUUGGUGAGUGAUGGGGCCAGAGAGGAAACCACAUCUGCAUCCAUGAUAGAAGGUCGGAACCAAAAUCUGUGUCACAAGCCAAGCCAACUGUGGGAUACCAGGGGUCAUAGGGCCAAAUUUAGGGCAAUAAGUAGUUUUAGGAUACUUUCUUCCUGGUUUAUUUGGGCAAAACAGGGACACCUACUGUUGAGACCUCAGUCGUCUGAUUACUUUGUAUGUUGAUUGGGUUUGUUCUAUAAGUGCUUUACCUAUUGUAUUGCCUGUGUAGAAUCAUCCUGCACAUAUGUAGAGUUUCUCAAAAUACCGUGUUUUUUUUUUUAAAUGACUUUUAGGAUAUAACAUUGUAUCCCUGUUAAAAUAUGGCCACCUAGCCUUUCUGGAGGUUGCCUUCCAUCAUUUUCUUUCAUUUUCUCAGAAUCUCCUUCUGGCCAAACCCAGGCUUCACCUUGGAAUUUCACUUAUGAAAGUACUGAAAAGUUAUAUAUGGUCAUUUUGCAUUAAGGCCCUGGCAAGAUAGCUGGUUAUUGUAGGGGAAAAUAUGUAUAUAUAUGUGUGUGUGUGUAUAUAUAAUUUAUGUUCCACUUUGGCCAAACAAACUAUGCAGUUUACCAUAGUUCAAUUGUCUUUAUGUAGUAAAGCCUGAUCUCAUGUUUGAAUCCCAUGGUUUCUAAAAUGAGCAUCUAAUAUCCAUUCACCUAUUGAUUAUCUCUCAUUUUACUGCUGCAGUAGGAAAACCGGGCUCAUAUACCUGCACUGCAUCCACUUUAACCUUUAGGACGGCAUCACCUUCUGAAAAGGCGCUUGUCAAGUCUAAGCGGAAACAUUUCAGACAUGGAGAGUCAAAAAUUAUUUACAUUCUGGGAAAUAGAAUCCAUAUUUCUUCUCUGAUGGAAAAGAAUAUCCUAACAGAUUGUUUAAUUCAAAAAAGGGAACAAAUGGCUUAUUGAUGAAUUGCUUUAGUUCCAAGCAUUACUGAGAGAAGGCUGAUACAAAUGUCUUUAUCUAUAAUCAUUAACAGUGGGACUGUUAGAUGAUAGCCUGUGGGUAAACAGAAGAAUCAACUUACCUCAUUCUAAGGCAGUAUGCAAAUCCAUCUUCCAUUGUUAAGAAAAUAACCAAUUUCUGUGAAUGAUCUUGUUUGUAGCUUUUAUCACUAGAUAGUUAAUUUAUGAAUAGUGGACCUAAAAAAUUCAAUAUUUUCUUCCCUGUGGUAAUAUGUUUGCAAUAAAUGAGACAUUAAGUUUUACAAAUCUUUGCCUGAAACCAGGAGUCAAAUGGUUUUAACAGACACUAUUAGGGCUUUUUGUUUUUUUUGUUUUUUUCUUUUUUUGGAGUGAUAAAGAAUGCUUUCUAUCACAGCUUGAUGGCAAUGCUUUUGCAUUAUGAAUCAGCAUUGAAUUCUAUAAUGCAAACUGACCCUUCUCUGAUAAUCCUAUUGAUUCUACCUUGUGCUACAUUGGUUUUCCAUAGGGCAAGUGAUAUGAUAAAUAUUAGAUCUUUAGGUCUAAUAUUGAAAUAUACUACAUUCUUUUUAUUUGCUUUUCAAAAAUAUUAAAUAAAUUUUGCUACUUUUCAGAUAUUCUGUAGUAUUUUAUAAUGGGAAAUUUUUUCAAUUCUUUUUUUGCCUUGAAGAAUAUCAUGUUGAUGUUGAAAACAGUGCCAGACUCUAAGAGUGGGUCAUAGGAAAAUUUAUGAAGAUUUACCAGUUUGAGCAAUUCUAAACCUUCUUUUUAUACUUUCUACAAUAACUCCUAUUUUUUUUAUCCUAUUUAGAAAGCAGGAUAUAAAAGAUAUUCUAUUUUUAAUGUAUUUUAUACACAUAUAUUAGAAAGAAGAAAGAAAACAUAUAUAAAAAAACCAAGUACGCAAUAUUGACUAGUAAUUAUCUAUGUUUAUUAGUAUAUGAGUUUUUAUGAUUUUUUUACUUUUAUUUAUAUCUUUAAUUUUUUUAAACAAUGUUACUUCUAUUUCUAAAAUGUUUAAAAAAUAUUUUUAGAGUUCCCAUUGUUGCUCAGCAAGUUAAGGACCCAAGAUAGUGUCUGUGAGGAUGUAAGAUCAAUCGCCAGCCUUGCUCAGUAGGUUAAGGAUCCAGCAUUGCUGCAGGCUGCAGUUUAGGUCACAGAUGUGGCUUGGAUCCCACAUUGUUGUGGCUAUGGCAUAGGCCAGCAGCUGCAGCUUUGAUUCGACUCCACGCCCAGGAACUUCCAUAGACUGCAGGGGCAGCCGUAAAAAGACAAAAAAAUAUUCUUAGCAGAUCUCCUUGGAGGUUAUCUGUCCAGAUAUGUUGAAAGGGAAACCCAGAUUUGACAGAACUAGUAACUGACAAUUAACUUAUUUAUUUUAGGGAAUUCUUUUGGGAGGCACAACCAAAAAUAAGUUAAGAUAUUAUAAAGCUUCUAUAUAAUUUCUAUUUUAUAGAUAUUUACUAUAUUAAAAAGACCUAAAAAUUAACAUCAAGAAUAUUUUAAAUUAAUUUAAGAAUAUCAACAUCCAUUUCCAGUAAAUUUCUUAGUAAAUGAAACUAAAUAUGCUUUUUCUUGAAAUUAUAAUCUGCCAGAAACUCAGAACCAGGAAAAUAUUAAAACCAUGUUCGCCUAAGAUGAAGAUAAGACCAAACCCCCACUAAAACUAUUAUUCUGUAUUUUUCUAGAAAUUCUAGCAAAUGAAAUAAAACAGCAAAAGAUAAAUGUAUACAUUGGAAAAGAAGAGGCAAAAUUAUCAAAAUUAUUUUUAUAUCGAUGACACAAUUAUUCACUGAGGAAAACCUAAGUAAAUCAGCAAAUAAAUACUUUAUAAAAAUAAAUUAAUAAAUUGGCUAUACUUGAUUACACAAAAAUUCAGUAUAUAUUUGUAUGUCAU